GGUGGUUUGUGGAGUGAAAGAAAAUAAGCGUCAAAAACUUGUACUGGGCACCAUUUAUUAUGAGUAGGAUACUAUGGUGCUGGUUUUUGAUUGUUUUAAAAAUAGUAAGUAAUGGUCAUUAUGCUUUUACAAGUCCAUAGUUCUUAGGUAGUCGGAGGUUGUAAUGGUCCCAGUCGUGAAUUUGUUGGGACGGAGGAACCCAUAAAAAGCUAAAUAUAUAGCUGUCUUUAUUACAGUAUUAGUAAUGGGUUCGAAAGGAGAAGAAUCUAAUAAAUUGAUUAGUGAAUGGAAUAUGUUGUUGUCUAUGGGUAGUCUUUGUGAGGGGACGUGUGCAUCCAAUUUUUUAAUGCCUUUAAGUAGUGUCUUAAUUUGAUAUGAGGUCAGGAAACCUGUAGCGUUGGGUUGUUGGAUAAGCAUGUGGUGCUGAAUGCCCGUAAGGUACAGUUUUAUAGUGUUGAAUGAUAAUUUAAGGUUGAUGUGGCAAAAAGAAGUGAAACCCAAUAUUGAUUCUAAUGUGAACAUGUCGUGGAUGUAGAAUUCAGUGAUGAAUUUCUUGAAUACGUGAAAAGCCCUGUCGUAUGUGUUCCUGGUGUUUACUGAAAGUGCGAGGUGAGAAAUGUGAUGUGCGUGAUCUAACAAAGCCUCUAAUCCAUUAUCAU
Molecule: non-coding RNA, 659 nt
Organism: Pelobates cultripes (western spadefoot toad)
Lineage: Eukaryota; Metazoa; Chordata; Amphibia; Anura; Pelobatidae
Source: the annotation of a GenBank genome assembly